CGGGGUGCAGCAGGCGCGAAACCUCUGCAAUAGGCGAAAGCCUGACAGGGUUACUCUGAGUGAUUCCCGCUAAGGGGAUCUUUUGGCACCUCUAAAAAUGGUGCAGAAUAAGGGGUGGGCAAGCCUGGUGUCAGCCGCCGCGGUAAUACCAGCACCCCGAGUGGUCGGGACGAUUAUUGGGCCUAAAGCAUCCGUAGCCGGCCACGCAAGUCCUCCGUUAAAUCCACCCGCUCAACGGUUGGGCUGCGGAGGAUACUACGUGGCUAGGAGGCGGGAGAGGCAAGCGGUACUCAAUGGGUAGGGGUAAAAUCCUUUGAUCCAUUGAAGACCACCAGUGGCGAAGGCGGCUUGCCAGAACGCGCUUGACGGUGAGGGAUGAAAGCUGGGGGAGCAAACCGGAUUAGAUACCCGGGUAGUCCCAGCUGUAAACGAUGCAGACUCGGUGAUGGGAUGGCCUCGAGCCAUCCCAGUGCCGCAGGGAAGCCGUUAAGUCUGCCGCCUGGGGAGUACGGUCGCAAGACUGAAACUUAAAGGAAUUGGC
RNAcentral lists this ribosomal RNA (541 nucleotides) under uncultured archaeon. RNAcentral's name for it is "bacterial SSU rRNA". It matches the Rfam family "Archaeal small subunit ribosomal RNA", at positions 326 to 869 of the family's 1478-position model. The record is from RNAcentral.